AGAUUGAACGCUGGCGGCAGGCCUAGCACAUGCAAGUCGAGCGGUAGAGAGGUGCUUGCAUCUCUUGAGAGCGGCGGACGGGUGAGUAAUGCCUAGGAAUCUGCCUAGUGGUGGGGGAUAACGUUCGGAAACGGACGCUAAUACCGCAUACGUCCUACGGGAGAAAGCGGGGGACCUUCGGGCCUCGCGCCAUUAGAUGAGCCUAGGUCGGAUUAGCUAGUUGGUGAGGUAAUGGUUCACCAAGGCGACGAUCCGUAACUGGUCUGAGAGGAUGAUCAGUCACACUGGAACUGAGACACGGUCCAGACUCCUACGGGAGCAGCAGUGGGAAUAUGGACAU
This 340-nucleotide ribosomal RNA is filed under the name uncultured soil bacterium. Its description in RNAcentral is "bacterial SSU rRNA". It matches the Rfam family "Bacterial small subunit ribosomal RNA", at positions 26 to 371 of the family's 1533-position model. The record is from RNAcentral.